This 62-nucleotide small nuclear RNA is filed under the name Camelus dromedarius (Arabian camel). RNAcentral's name for it is "U7 small nuclear RNA (ENSCDRG00005003728.1)". It matches the Rfam family "U7 small nuclear RNA". Rfam says of the family: Animal histone pre-mRNAs are spliced by a different mechanism than nuclear pre-mRNAs and self-splicing introns. Lineage: Eukaryota; Metazoa; Chordata; Mammalia; Artiodactyla; Camelidae. The record is from Rfam by way of RNAcentral.
AAGUGUUAACAGUCUUUUAAAAUUUGUCUAGCUGGUUUUCUGGCCUGCCCUGAAAAGCCCCC